This 838-nucleotide long non-coding RNA is filed under the name Capra hircus (goat). RNAcentral's name for it is "lncRNA (ENSCHIG00000000886.1)". Lineage: Eukaryota; Metazoa; Chordata; Mammalia; Artiodactyla; Bovidae. The record is from RNAcentral.
GGUUUAUAAGGUGCCAUCAUAACCCAUCAUCAGAGGCCUCAAAAUGAGCCUCGAUUCAUUUUAUUAUUUCCUGUUAAGGGAAACCUGAAGUCUUCCUGUGCCAAGAGGACAUGACAAGUCCCUCCCAUCUGAGGGUGUUCCUGGCCUCUAUUAAGGUCUGAAAGAUGACCCGAAAUUCCUGGAGCCCCUCCCAUUGAUGUCAAAUUAUAAAUAAAAUGUUGCUCUUUUUUUUUUUUUUUCCAGGAAAAAACUGCCUAUUUCACCUUCCUUGGCAGUGGAAUAAGUGGAUCAAAAACAGCGACUGCUGAUGAAAACUCAACUUCCAAAUACAUUCCACAGCUUAUUUGCAGAGGGAAAUGUUCUUUACCUUUUGAACUUUCAGAUAGCUGGUGAAAGCAAAUGGGCCUGUGAAACUGCUUCCUUUAAUCCAGCAGAUAGAUGCCUGUGGUUUCAGAGCCCGGGAUGUUCCAUUUUGAGUGCCACAUGCGUGUGGUUAGCUAAUGACCGGGUGUCUACUGAGGUUUGCGACCAGGGAUUGUUGCAAAGCUCUACCUGACUCUUUUCUUCUCCUGGAGAAGGUAUUUCCCGACCAUACAGAAAUUGUUUCAAAGCGCAUUGACUUGUGACCAGAUUCUUUUCAGUCUUCUUAUUCCUGAAUAUUUCAGCAAUGGACAUAUGGGUCACCUCCUCUGUAUUGUGACCUUCUCUUCUCUGAAGUCUCAUUAUUCUUUUUGGUCUCUGGAAUAUUAUGUGGGAAUAAAUAGGGAAAAGGAAACCAAACUUGCUUUUAUUCUCUUAUCCAUACUUUUCACCUGCGUGUUCCACCUUUAUCUGUGUA